Molecule: ribosomal RNA, 465 nt
Filed under: Vreelandella stevensii
Lineage: Bacteria; Pseudomonadati; Pseudomonadota; Gammaproteobacteria; Oceanospirillales; Halomonadaceae
Description: partial 16S ribosomal RNA
Rfam family: Bacterial small subunit ribosomal RNA
Source: RNAcentral
CCUACGGGUGGCUGCAGUGGGGAAUAUUGGACAAUGGGCGAAAGCCUGAUCCAGCCAUGCCGCGUGUGUGAAGAAGGCCUUCGGGUUGUAAAGCACUUUCAGUGGGGAAGAAAGCCUUGGGGCUAAUACCCUCGAGGAAGGACAUCACCCACAGAAGAAGCACCGGCUAACUCCGUGCCAGCAGCCGCGGUAAUACGGAGGGUGCGAGCGUUAAUCGGAAUUACUGGGCGUAAAGCGCGCGUAGGCGGUCUGAUAAGCCGGUUGUGAAAGCCCCGGGCUCAACCUGGGAACGGCAUCCGGAACUGUCAGGCUAGAGUGCGGGAGAGGAAGGUAGAAUUCCCGGUGUAGCGGUGAAAUGCGUAGAGAUCGGGAGGAAUACCAGUGGCGAAGGCGGCCUUCUGGACUGACACUGACGCUGAGGUGCGAAAGCGUGGGGAGCAAACAGGAUUAGAUACCCUAGUAGUC